GACGAACGCUGGCGGCGUGCUUAACACAUGCAAGUCGAACGGAAAGGCCCUGCUUUUGUGGGGUGCUCGAGUGGCGAACGGGUGAGUAACACGUGAGUAACCUGCCCUUGACUUUGGGAUAACUCCAGGAAACUGGGGCUAAUACCGGAUAGGAGCUCCUGCUGCAUGGUGGGGGUUGGAAAGUUUCGGCGGUUGGGGAUGGACUCGCGGCUUAUCAGCUUGUUGGUGGGGUAGUGGCUUACCAAGGCUUUGACGGGUAGCCGGCCUGGGAGGGGGACCGGCGACAAUGGGCCUGAGAGAGGGCCCAGAAGCCAACGGGACGCAACAGUGGGGAAUAUUGCAGAGCGGGCGGAAGCCUGUUGCGACGACGCUGCGUGCGGGAUAACGGCUUUCGGGUUGUAAACCGCUUUCGCAUGUGACGAAGCGUGAGUGACGGUACUGGGUAAAGAAGCACCGGCUAACUACGUG
Molecule: ribosomal RNA, 468 nt
Filed under: uncultured bacterium
Lineage: Bacteria
Description: partial 16S ribosomal RNA
Rfam family: Bacterial small subunit ribosomal RNA
Source: RNAcentral